GACGAACGCUGGCGGCGUGCCUAAUACAUGCAAGUAGAACGCUGAAGGAGGAGCUUGCUUCUCUGGAUGAGUUGCGAACGGGUGAGUAACGCGUAGGUAACCUGCCUUGUAGCGGGGGAUAACUAUUGGAAACGAUAGCUAAUACCGCAUAAUAUUGACUAUUGCAUGAUAGUCAGUUGAAAGGUGCAACUGCACCACUACCAGAUGGACCUGCGUUGUAUUAGCUAGUUGGUGGGGUAACGGCUCACCAAGGCGACGAUACAUAGCCGACCGGAGAGGGCGGUCGGCCAGACUGGGACGGAGACCCGGCCCAGACUCAUACGGGAGGCAGCAGUAGGGAAUCUUCGGCAAUGGACGGAAGUCUGACCGAGAAACGCCGCGUGAGUGAAGAAGGUUUUCGGAUCGUAAAGCUCUGUUGUAAGAGAAGAACGAGUGUGAGAGUGGAAAGCUCACACUGUGACGGUAUCUUACCAGAAAGGGACGGCUAACUACGUG
RNAcentral lists this ribosomal RNA (495 nucleotides) under uncultured bacterium. RNAcentral describes it as "partial 16S ribosomal RNA". It matches the Rfam family "Bacterial small subunit ribosomal RNA", at positions 28 to 507 of the family's 1533-position model. The record is from RNAcentral.